Molecule: ribosomal RNA, 498 nt
Filed under: uncultured bacterium
Lineage: Bacteria
Description: partial 16S ribosomal RNA
Rfam family: Bacterial small subunit ribosomal RNA
Source: RNAcentral
GAUGAACGCUAGCGGCAGGCCUAAUACAUGCAAGUCGAACGGGAUUGAGGAGCUUGCUCCUCAUGAGAGUGGCGCACGGGUGCGUAACACGUAUGUAACCUACCUUAAUCAGGGGAAUAGCCUCUCGAAAGAGAGAUUAACACCGCAUAAAAUCACACUAUGGCAUCAUAGAAUGAUCAAAUAUUUAUAGGAUUAAGAUGGGCAUGCGGAACAUUAGCUAGUUGGUAAGGUAACGGCUUACCAAGGCUACGAUGUUUAGGGGAUCUGAGAGGAUGGCCCCCCACACUGGUACUGAGACACGGACCAGACUCCUACGUGAGGCAGCAGUAAGGAAUAUUGGUCAAUGGGCGGAAGCCUGAACCAGCCAUGCCGCGUGCAGGAAGACGGCCCUACGGGUUGUAAACUGCUUUUGUACCGGAAUAAACCUUUCUACGUGUAGGAAGCUGAGUGUACGGUAAGAAUAAGGAUCGGCUAACUCCGUGCCAGCCGCCGCCGUAA